Gossypium raimondii (Peruvian cotton) is the source of this 1703-nucleotide long non-coding RNA. RefSeq lists it as uncharacterized. The transcript is spliced from 2 exons. The record is from RefSeq and is a predicted model, not a curated record. NCBI's taxonomy places the organism in Eukaryota, Viridiplantae, Streptophyta, Magnoliopsida, Malvales, Malvaceae.
CAAAUAUAGUUUUAAAAAGGUUUUUGAUUUGGUAAUUUAUGUUCUAUAACAAUUUAUUAGGUUCAAGUGGUAAGACCCUAAGGUCAAGUGGUUUUAGAAAGUGAGGUAUCAAGACCUCGUUUCUAUAAACCGAGCCGUAAAUAUUUUUAUAAAUAUUUACGGAGUUUCAUUAAGGUGGUAUUAAAGUUUCAUUGAAAAAUUUUAACGUUUCGAUAGUUAAUUAAUUAAAAAGAACUAAAUUGAAAAAUGUGUAAAACUUGCUAAUUAUAGCAAUUAGGUGAUGAAAUGAUGUAAUUAUUAAUUGAGGAAGGAAUUAAGUGAUAAUUAAGCCCUAAAUAGUAUAGUGGGACAGUAAAUUGAUGGAUAAGGACAAAAUAAUUAAAUUAUAAUGGCAAACUUGUAAUUUAGUUGAAAUUAAAACAAAAUUAAGUAAGAAGAAAUAGGAUUUCUUCUUCAUUUUAUUCUUUUGCCACUGACGGAACACCAUAGAAAUAGAUUGGAGAAUUGGUUGAGCAUACGAGCUUCCAUGUGAGUUCAAUUCUUACCCGUUUCUUGUAAUUUUUAUGUUUUUGAGAUAGUUGCAACUAGGUCCAGCUAACCCGUACCUUCGUUUCUAAUUCUGUUAAAAAUUUUGGAAGUUUCCAUUGAAAAAUAUUAGAUGUUUUUUAUGAAUAACAUGGAUUUGGAGCUUUGAUUGUGUUGUGUGAUGAUUUUGUAAAGUGAUUUUUGUUAAAUAUUGAUUUUAGGAUUAAAUUGUGAAAAUGUCAAAAUAUUAGGGUUUGAUAGUGAAUUUUAGGUUUAUUAAGGGUUGUAUGAGGGCCUAGAAUAUUUGGAUAGGUUGUUUAUUUGAGAAAAUUAGUUAAUGUGAUAGAUUAACUAAUUAAGGGAUUAAAUUGCAAAAAUUGUAAAAGUUUAGGUAAUUGCAUAAAGUAGAAAAAUAAAAGGGUAUUAAUUGUAAAAUGGAUUAGAAAUGAAAUAUAUGCUAAUAAAUGAGUAAUUUUAUAUUUUAGAUCAAGAUCUCGUAGAUAUUCGUGGAAAAAAAAUAGCGGAAUAGUUCCUAAACUUCUACAAUUACUACAAUUCAGUCCAGGUAAGUUCGUACGGUUAAAAUUUAACAUUUGUACAAAUUGAUGAUUGGUAUUAUGCAUAUAUUCUAUUGCUGGAAAUGAAUUAUUGUUUGAAUUAUAAUAUUGAAUUGGAUAUCCGGUUUGAAUUGAACGCGAGAUUUGAGUACAUACGUGAUUUGGUGUAUGACGGGGGUUUGGAGUGGAGAUGGUAUUGGAGGGAGAUAUUAGAAUUUUACCCAAGUAAACGGGGUUCAUCAUUUGUUGUGAACUAUCGUGUUUUAUUUUAUUUUUGGCAUGAUUGGGUGGAUCAGCUCUUACUAGCUUCUGUUCAGCUUUCGAGCUUCUGUUGGCGUAUUUGGGAGGACCAGCUCUUAUGAGCUUCUGUUGACGAUGUACUCUUAUCCGAAAGUCGCUCUUCGAAUGGAAAAAUCUCGGUUGGACGAAAGGAUCGGCACUCAAGUCACACUAUCCAAUUUAUCUCGGUAGUUUUUGAAAUGUUAAAUUCAAAUUAUAUGACAUGUAUAGGCUCUUGUGCUAUUUUGGUUAAUGUUUGGCUUAUGUGAAUAUUAUGAAUGAUAUUUUGUGCAAAUAACUAAUUUGCAAAGGGUAUGAGAAUGAGGUAUAGUUGUUAUGCUA